UACGUAGGGUGCAAGCGUUGUCCGGAUUCAUUGGGCGUAAAGGGCUCGUAGGCGGCCAACUAAGUCAGACGUGAAAUCCCUCGGCUUAACCGGGGAACUGCAUCUGAUACUGGAUGGCUUGAGUUCGGGAGAGGGAUGCGGAAUUCCAGGUGUAGCGGUGAAAUGCGUAGAUAUCUGGAGGAACACCGGUGGCGAAGGCGGCAUCCUGGACCGACACUGACGCUGAGGAGCGAAAGCCAGGGGAGCAAACGGG
This 253-nucleotide ribosomal RNA is filed under the name uncultured bacterium. RNAcentral describes it as "partial 16S ribosomal RNA". It matches the Rfam family "Bacterial small subunit ribosomal RNA", at positions 524 to 776 of the family's 1533-position model. The record is from RNAcentral.